RNA transcript from Centrocercus urophasianus (Greater sage-grouse), 5027 nucleotides. It is a transcript of the gene named MDM2 binding protein, with no coding region annotated. The record is from RefSeq and is a predicted model, not a curated record. NCBI's taxonomy places the organism in Eukaryota, Metazoa, Chordata, Aves, Galliformes, Phasianidae. The transcript is spliced from 23 exons.
GGCCAUGGAGCGCUACGUGCUGCUCUUCGGCUGGGGGGCUGCGGCGGGCGGCGCCGAGCACGGAGCCGGCGCUGGAGCAGCUGUUGCAAGUGUUUAUAAGCUCCUGAAAGAAAAAUGUAAUUCAUCUAUAAAAACAAAUACAGUGACUUUUCCAGCAUGUUCAGUGGCUGGUAUUCCAGGCAUAAAGAAAUGGUACUUUGCGAGUCACAUUAUAUGUGGCUAUUAUCAGUUCUGCAGUUCUGACUGGGAGGAAAUAAAUUCUGACAUGCAGAAAAAUGAAGACUGUCUCCAAACAACUAUUGAGAAGUGUCUGGGAAACAUACAGAACUUUGAGGAAGAUGACAGUAACAGUAGGGAGUCACUGUCUAUGGCUGAUGUUUAUGAUGAAGCUGCAGAAAGUCUGCAUCAGUUGGCUGACAGACUGCCUGCCCCAGGAAGAGCAAUGCUGGAUAUCAUACUACAAACUGUUGAAGGGGAUGCACCCAAGUUGAAAGACUGCUUACCUGUGAUUGGUGCCCUGAAACACCUGAGAGAAUGGCACUCUGCACAAAUCACCAUUGCAACAAGUGACUCUAAAGGCUGGCAAAAGAUUGCAGACUACCUAUCGGCAGACUUUGUCUCUUCAGAUGAUGUCAUGGAUGUUAUCGAUUUAAAAGAGCUCUGGAGGGGAAAGAUUCACAUAUGGGAAAGAAAGUUUGCAUCAGAAGUUAGCUUUCCAGAUUUUUGUAUGAAGAGCACUUCAGCAAAACCUCUCAGCACCUCACAUCUAAAUUCUUGCUUUGCUGACCAACGAUGUAUGAAUUCUGAUGCUUUGCCAGAGGUUUUUCAUUACUAUGGUCCUGCUUUAGAGUUUUUGCAGAUGGUUGACCUCUCUGAACUCCCCCCCUUUUUUAUAUCAGAUCUGGAAUUUGAGCUGAGCCUGGCAAGAAAGGGUAAAAAACAGAUGUCUGCACUGCUUUUAGAUCAGAUUUCUUCUCUCUCUGGGAAGGUGGGAGCUUUAGUUUCAUUAGCAUGCAGUGUAAGCAGUGUAGUGAUCCCAUCUCCUGCCCAGCUGAGUACAAAGAAAUGGAAGGAAUAUAUGGCUAGGAAACCUAAGGUCAUUACUGUUCCAGAAAUUGAUCUGAAAGGAGAAUCUUGCCGAUACUAUUUCUUGCUACAAGGCAACGGUUCAGGAGGAUGUAAAGCAACCUUGAUUCAUUCUGCUACCCAAAUCAAUGGAAUGGCCACUCUUGCUGCUGUAAAUAGAAUACUGAAGACAAAUGUAGGAGAAACAGAGUCAAGCUUUCCUACUGAUGACUUUAUUGAGUCUCUGCCGCGGUUCUGUGGAAAGCAAAUUGUACAGAGAGAAAAGAAACUGUCACAUCUCCAGGCAUCUGCUUUGAAGGAGUAUCUCAAGAGAAAGAAAGUGACUGAGCAGCCUCCAGUUAUUUCCACUGAUGAGCUCAAAAGCUUGUUAGAACUUACAAGAGAAUGCUUUUUGGACCUGUGGAACACUAAUGUUCCUGAACCUGUUCCACAGAAGACUGCCCAUAAAACUAGUUCACAUACAGUGGCUUCUGAAUCAGAUUUAAUGGAGCCAAAACCAUUGGAAUGGCCAGAAAGACAUGUUCUUCAGAAUUUGGAAAACUUUGAAAAAAUCAAACAAAAAAUGAGAGCUUCUAUGCUUGCACAUUCAUCUGAACAACUGCUUGGACAUAAAGAUAGCCAGCGAGAGUCACUGACAUCACUCGAUGCGAAGGAGUUACUAAAAUACUUCACACCAGAAGGGCUGCCAGUUGGUGAUCUUCAGCCACUGCAUAUUCCCAAACGUGAAAAUGCAUUCUUUUUGACACCUGAGCUUACUCCUCGGAAGCUAAGAGGUCUGCCUUUUGAAAAAGCAGCUGGAUGCCAUUAUCAUGGAAUUGAAUACUGUCUAGAUAACAGGAAAGCUUUAGAGAGAGACUUGGGAUAUGCUGAACUUCAAGCUCGUCUUAUUCGCUAUGAAACUCAGACCACGUGCACCAAGGAAUGCUGCCCUCUGCCGGUCGUCUUGAGCCCUCUGCCGGCUGUCCUGAGCCCCCUGCCGUCUCCUGCAGUCUCGUCGGAGCCUGGAAGCGUCCCCGAUGGAGAGUCUUUACAAAGUGAAUUCAGAACAGAGGUACUGAGGCUAAAACGCAGAUCAAAAGACUUGGAUUGCUUUCAUCCCAAGAAAAGGCUAACAAAAUCAGAGAGUACAGACUCUCUCCUCUCCCAGGCAAGUGGGGGAAGUGGGAGUCAUAAUGCUCUGGUGGUAACCAGGAAGCGCUCUGAAAGAUCAGUUUCUUUAAGUUCGAUGGCAUUGAAGCAGUCUGGUCAGUCCCACAAAGCAGCCAUGAGGGCUGGUUCAGCAAGCUGCAUAAGUGCAACAGAAUCUGAGACUUCAAAGCCAGUUAAGGAAUCGAGAUCUCAGAAACAUACAAGGAUGCUGAAGGAGGUGGUAGCCAAGACUCUACAAAAGCAUGGAAUUGCUGAGGAUCACAAGUGCUUUCCAUCAUGCAGCCAACGUCUAUUUGAGAUAUCAAAGUUUUACUUAAAGGACCUUAAAACUUCUAGAGGACUUCUUGAUGAAAUGAAAAAAACAGCAAGUAACAAUGCUAAGCAGGUGAUUGAAUGGGUUCUGGAGAAAACUGGCAAGUAGACCCUGCAGAGACACAGCACUUCUGACUGCAGGAAAAACAUUAUACUGAGUAACACCUGCAACUACCUACUCAAGCACCAGAAGAACUUGCUGCAAAUAUUUAAGUCACUAAGGAAAUAAGAAGCACGUUGAAAGCAGAUGAGAUCUGUGUGCCUCUGGGCUUAUAUCCACCUGGGUAAGCAGCUAACACUGACUCCAAUGCUGUAAGCUCUUUUCUAAGAGUUUCAAACCCUCCAUGUUUUCAGGAGUAGGGAUGGUGGUGUGACUGCUGUGUCCAAUACCUCCUCCUCAUACUUUUCCCUAUGUAUCUGCUCUUGGUCACUGCUGAAGCCAAAACACUGUACCACGACCUGACUGUGCAUGGCUGCUCCAACAGGCUGAGAAUAAACACUUUACAGAAUGUAUAUUAUCAAAGGAUAUAAAGAAUUGAGUAGCCAAUAUGCUCUGGAACCACUAGAAGAUUUGGCCAGAAAAAAAACAUAUUUGCAAAUAUAAUUUAUGGUAUCUAAACUGUUUGUAGGAAUAAACAUUUUUAGGUUAUGUGACAGCUAACUUUAAGAGUUAAGCAGACGGUUUGCACUACAUCUGUAAUCCCCAUUUUUUUCCCACAAUUAGAUUUUUAAGAGUGCCUAAACCACAGUUUGUCACAUUAGAUGAAGGACAUACGUGCAUGCUGAAAUUAUUAAUAACAUCACAUUCUUCAGCUCUUCUACCCACAAUCAUUUAAAAAGGGCAAUGGAUACAUAUAAACAUUCUAACAUCUGGCUAUACAGACAUACAAUAUUUUUGUAAAUAUAAGUAAUCAUUCAUCUCUCCUUGCAGUAUUCCACCCUUUUCUAUCUUUAGAUUGUCUCUUUCUAAAGCCACAUCAUCAUGCUGCACUGGAAACAUGGCAUCUACAUACUGCUAUUGGAACCACACCGGCCUGCUCCUGUUAGCGCUGUUCCACCUCCACAGCCUUAGGGACCACCAAAGAGAUGGAAACAUGCAUCCCGGCUGAAUGCACUACUUACAAUUUCUCCAUCUUUUCCUCCGAAGUCUAAAUAAAGCAUCCUUAUCCCAUCAUCUGAGGACAUUUUCAGUUUUUCAUAGGGGUACUGUGCAAUUGUCUUAGAGAAGGCACCGUCUUGUGGUUCAGUUGUAAGAGAGAAUCCAUGUUCGUAAUGGAUGGUCAAACGGCACUCCUGGCUUUUGUAUGUGCAAGCUGAACAAGGAAACAAAAUUCAGACCGUAGCACUCUUAAAAGUAACAAAUUCAAUUUGGCUGCACAAGUUUGCAUUUUACAUGUGAUGUCAACAGUAUCUUGUGGAAACUAAGCUGUUGUAGAAUUGGGUUAAUCAUGUUCUAAUCUUAGAUUUGGAUAAUCAACUGGAGUUGUUCUGCUGAGCGUGGCCCAGGCAAGUUUUGUAGCUGUCGUCUACUUCCAGGAUUACAAUUCUGCUUGGUAGUAACAUGGCUAAUGUCAGUUCUUAUGUUUACUCACUGCAUUUUUCCUGUAGCAGUGCACAUCUAUGUGCUGACCCAAAGCAGCUUUCUGAAGAUGGCUCGAGAUGGCAUUUCUUCCUCCCAAGCCCUGACAGUCACAGCUAUUCUUGUGUGACAGAGCCAAACUCAAUGAAUGCGUCGCACAGUGCAAAAUUAGAAGCUUGAAAGACUAUCCCUGCAGAAUUCUGACAAACACAAAGACACUCUGGAGUCCUCAUUAGUGUCACAGUAAUUGAAAAAGGGCCCAGAUAAUAGUAUAUAAUAGCAACUGCAGCAAAAGUCUGCAUCCUUCCCUCAGCUCUGAAACAUACCAUGAUCCAAAUUAAAAAGCUUUGGGUAUUUACAUCCCAAAUUCUCUUUCUCUCUCUCUUCCUGUGAACUCUUUUGAUAACUAAGGCUUUUUACAGGCUUUUAAGGCCCGAUGGCCUUAAAAGGUGGGUGGCAGCUCUGCUGGUGGUAUUGGGGUUGGAAAACCCCCAUGAACAUGUGUUUUGAUGUCCCUUCCAACCCAAGUCAUUCUAUGAUUCUGUGACAUGACUUAUAAAUCCUUGGGGAACUCAAUGAAAAGGUGUAGCCUAAAAGGCCCAGAGCCAUUCUGGUCUGGCAGCAGACAGACCACAAGGGGCAUUAUUCCAGAGUGUCUGCAGCUAACUAACUUUUAUUUGUUAAUUUUGCAAGUAGAGAAAUGCAGAAACAUGACAUGCUCAGGGAAGAAAAUGACCAGUCACCACAAACUGGCUAUUGAUUUGGAUUGUAUUUCUUUUCACUCAUUUCAAGUGUGCAGAGCUGGGUGAAUAAAUAACCAGUUCAUGCCUGUGAAUCUGCCUGUCCUCCUCUGCCUCUUCCCUUUGCAGGAAAAACUUCUGACAGGCUCUCAGAAGUCUCC